This 239-nucleotide unclassified non-coding RNA is filed under the name fungal sp. RNAcentral's name for it is "partial internal transcribed spacer region". The stretch from base 1 to 46 matches the Rfam family "Eukaryotic small subunit ribosomal RNA", at positions 1786 to 1831 of the family's 1831-position model. Lineage: Eukaryota; Fungi. The record is from RNAcentral.
AAGUCGUAACAAGGUUUCCGUAGGUGAACCUGCGGAAGGAUCAUUACAAAUCCAACGUCUCCUUGCCGAGACCACGUUGAACUGUUCCCCCGGUACGAGUUUCCUUUGGGGGCGUCACAGCCCCCGACGGCCUUGCCGACCCCUUUCACAACCUAGUGUGCCCUGUUGCUUCAUAUGUAUGUCUUUGUUGACACAACAACAACAAGAAACAACUUAUAACAAUGGAUCUCUAGGCUCUU